GACGAACGCUGGCGGCGUGCUUAACACAUGCAAGUCGAACGAUGAAGCUAGAGCUUGCUCUGGUGGAUUAGUGGCGAACGGGUGAGUAACACGUGAGUAACCUGCCCCGAACUCUGGGAUAACUGCUGGAAACGGUAGCUAAUACCGGAUAUGACCAAUGAAGGCAUCUUCUGUUGGUGGAAAGAAUUUCGGUUCGGGAUGGACUCGCGGCCUAUCAGCUUGUUGGUGAGGUAACGGCUCACCAAGGCGACGACGGGUAGCCGGCCUGAGAGGGUGAUCGGCCAACAUGGGACUGAGACACGGCCCAGACUCCUACGGGAGGCAGCAGUAGGGAAUAUUGCACAAUGGGCGCAAGCCUGAUGCAGCAACGCCGCGUGAGGGAUGACGGCCUUCGGGUUGUAAACCUCUUUUGGCAGGGAAGAAGCGAAAGUGACGGUACCUGCAGAAAAAGCACCGGCUAACUACGUGCCAGCAGCCGCAGUAA
Molecule: ribosomal RNA, 484 nt
Filed under: uncultured bacterium
Lineage: Bacteria
Description: partial 16S ribosomal RNA
Rfam family: Bacterial small subunit ribosomal RNA
Source: RNAcentral